This 389-nucleotide ribosomal RNA is filed under the name Picozoa sp. RNAcentral describes it as "partial small subunit ribosomal RNA". It matches the Rfam family "Eukaryotic small subunit ribosomal RNA", at positions 582 to 975 of the family's 1831-position model. Lineage: Eukaryota; Picozoa. The record is from RNAcentral.
AUUCCAGCUCCAAUAGCGUAUAUUAAAGUUGUUGCAGUUAAAAAGCUCGUAGUCGGAUUUUGGCAUCACGCCGAACUGUCUGCCGAUUGGUAAGUACGGUUUGGCGGGUGCUUCCUUCCGGAGGCUCGUUCCCUUCUUCAUUGAAGGGUUCGUUGGUUCCGGGUCUUUUACUUUGAGAAAAUUAGAGUGUUCAAAGCAGGCCUAUGCUCUGAAUAGGUUAGCAUGGAAUAAUAGAAUAGGACUAUGGUUCUAUUUUGUUGGUUUCUAGGAUCGAAGUAAUGAUUAAUAGGGACAGUUGGGGGCAUUCAUAUUCCAUUGUCAGAGGUGAAAUUCUUGGAUUCGCUGAAGACUAACUUAUGCGAAAGCAUUCACCAAGGAUGUCUUCAUUA